AGGUGAGGGGACAGGAGAAGGAAAAAUGUGGGAUCAUACAUUUUCCUUUCCUGGGCCACCAGGCUGAGAGGAUGGGAGGUGAGCACAGAAGGCACAGAAGAAAGCACACACUCGUGCUCUGUGGAUAUGCACUGCUCGCCAAUAGUCAGAGCAAUUUCCAUCAGCCUCCCAGCACCAGGCCGAGCAGGUGGAGAUGGCUGGUUGGGAGCAUCACACCUGGCCUUCCUGUGGCACCGAGGAUUCCGCACUCGGCAAAGAUGGCGUCUGGAAGAGGCAGGAGAAGGGAAGAGAUGGCACCUACACGGGGAUUAUGAUCACGGAGCGCCUCUGACCAGGUUCUCAAGGGAAGGACUCCCAGAGAAGAGACUCACUAGGAGAGAGACUUAAGACAGCUCUGAAGCAUGCACGGCCAAGGGACAUCUGGUACCUAAAGGCACACAGGGACUUACCUUGAAAAACCCUGGUGUCCAAAGACUGAAACACACCUGCAUUCCAAUCCUAGAUCCUCUCAUAAAGCACCGUCUCCUUGGCC
Molecule: long non-coding RNA, 532 nt
Filed under: Fukomys damarensis (Damara mole-rat)
Lineage: Eukaryota; Metazoa; Chordata; Mammalia; Rodentia; Bathyergidae
Description: lncRNA (ENSFDAG00000026016.1)
Source: RNAcentral